RNAcentral lists this ribosomal RNA (589 nucleotides) under uncultured bacterium. Its description in RNAcentral is "partial 16S ribosomal RNA". It matches the Rfam family "Bacterial small subunit ribosomal RNA", at positions 355 to 938 of the family's 1533-position model. The record is from RNAcentral.
UGGGGAAUAUUGCACAAUGGGCGCAAGCCUGAUGCAGCCAUGCCGCGUGUGUGAAGAGGGCCUUCGGGUUGUAAAGCACUUUCAGCGAGGAGGAAGGUGGUGAGCUUAAUACGCUCAUCAAUUGACGUUACUCGCAGAAGAAGCACCGGCUAACUCCGUGCCAGCAGCCGCGGUAAUACGGAGGGUGCAAGCGUUAAUCGGAAUUACUGGGCGUAAAGCGCACGCAGGCGGCUUGUUAAGUCAGAUGUGAAAUCCCCGGGCUCAACCUGGGAACUGCAUUUGAAACUGGCAAGCUAGAGUCUCGUAGAGGGGGGUAGAAUUCCAGGUGUAGCGGUGAAAUGCGUAGAGAUCUGGAGGAAUACCGGUGGCGAAGGCGGCCCCCUGGACGAAGACUGACGCUCAGGUGCGAAAGCGUGGGGAGCAAAACAGGAUUAGAUACCCCUGGUAGUCCACGCUGUAAAACGAUGUCGAUUUUGGAGGUUGUGCCCUUGAGGCGUGGCUUCCGGAGCUAACGCGUUAAAUCGACCGCCUGGGGAGUACGGCCGCAAGGUUAAAACUCAAAUGAAUUGACGGGGUCAAGCUGUUUCCU